CUACGGGUGGCUGCAGUGGGGAAUAUUGGACAAUGGGGGAAACCCUGAUCCAGCAAUGCCGCGUGUGUGAAGAAGGCCUGCGGGUUGUAAAGCACUUUCGGUUGGGAGGACUGCUUCUAGCACUAAUAUUGUUGGUAGUUGACGUUACCUUCAGAAGAAGCACCGGCUAACUCCGUGCCAGCAGCCGCGUAAUACGGAGGGUGCAAGCGUUAAUCGGAAUUACUGGGCGUAAAGCGCGCGUAGGCGGCUGAAUCAGUCGGGUGUGAAAGCCCCGGGCUUAACCUGGGAACUGCAUCCGAUACUGUCUAGCUUGAGUAAAGGAGGGGAGAGUGGAAUUCCACAUGUAGCGGUGAAAUGCGUAGAUAUGUGGAGGAACACCAAUGGCGAAGGCAGCUCUCUGGACUGAUACUGACGCUGAGGUGCGAAAGCGUGGGGAGCAAACAGGAUUAGAUACCCGCGUAGUC
RNAcentral lists this ribosomal RNA (464 nucleotides) under uncultured bacterium. RNAcentral's name for it is "partial 16S ribosomal RNA". It matches the Rfam family "Bacterial small subunit ribosomal RNA", at positions 339 to 795 of the family's 1533-position model. The record is from RNAcentral.